GACGAACGCUGGCGGCGUGCUUAACACAUGCAAGUCGAACGGUAAGGCCCUUCGGGGUACACGAGUGGCGAACGGGUGAGUAACACGUGGGUGAUCUGCCCUGCACUUCGGGAUAAGCCUGGAAACUGGGUCUAAUACCGGAUAGGACUCCGGACUGCAUGGUCUGGGGUGGAAAGCUUUUGCGGUGUGGGAUGGGCCCGCGGCCUAUCAGCUUGUUGGUGGGGUGAUGGCCUACCAAGGCGACGACGGGUAGCCGGCCUGAGAGGGUGACCGGCCACAGUGGGACGGGGAUACGGCCCAGGCGACUACGGGGGGCAGCAGUGGGGAAUAUUGCACAAUGGGCGCAAGACUGAUGCAGCGACGCCGCGUGAGGGAUGACGGCCUUCGGGUUGUAAACCUCUUUCAGCAUCGACGAAGCGAAAGUGACGGUAGGUGCAGAAGAAGGACCGGCCAACUACGUGCCAGCAGCCGCGGUAA
Molecule: ribosomal RNA, 477 nt
Filed under: uncultured bacterium
Lineage: Bacteria
Description: partial 16S ribosomal RNA
Rfam family: Bacterial small subunit ribosomal RNA
Source: RNAcentral